CAACUCCACCAAGCCCACUUGAACCACCGAGCCCACUAGCACCACCGAGGCCACCGACUCCACCAAUUCCUCCAAGCCCACCAGCACCACCGAGGCCAGUAAUCCCACCAAGACCUCCAACUCCACCAAACGGAAGCCCAUUAGAACCAAUGCCGGAGAAGCCACCAACACCACCGUAUGUUAGAAAGUUCUUUUGAUCAUCAAGGCCAGCAUCAGUGGGCGCACUUUUGGCAGUGUUAUGAACCACUUGAUCAUCAUGAUCACUAGGCGUAUUUCUUGCACUAGUGUGAACCGCUGCUACAGCAAGAACAAGCAUGACAUUGGCACACCACUUUGCCAUCUCUCUCAAAGAUUAUUAUUAUUUGAUUACUAUUAUGAAUUUUUCUUCUUAGUACAUGUGAACUAUUGUUGCGGGAGUCUCCUUAUAAAGGCUAAGAGGGCAUUGGGGAGGUAGUUGUGGGUAGUAAAUAGAAUUGAAUGCGGGCAACUUAGCUGGCACACUCGCUCAUAAGGUCUGCUGUUUGAAAUAUAUAUUUUCAAGGAUUUGUGCUUAGAGUAAAAUUGUUAUAGGAGUCAUCGUAAUGGUUUAAACGCCUGCUGUACGGCCAAGGCGGAUGUACGGUACAGCAGAAAUUUUGUUUUCAGAAGUACUGCAAGUUUUAAAAACAAUUAUGGACGUUUGAUAAAUUUUACUAUUAAACUGCUGAGAGUAAGUAAAUGAUUAAAAUAUAAAUAAUAUAGGAUAAAAUUUACUUAUACAUGUGAAAACACGUACACACAAUAUUUUUAAUUUUGUAUGAUGAUAAUUUUAACUAAAAAUAAAAUUUAUAAUAUAUAUUGAUUUUAUUUUUUAUCGUAAACAAUUGAUAAUUAAAUUUAUAAUAUAGUGAAACAAAUUUAAUAAUAAAUCGACCAACAAAUAUUGAUGAAUCAUAAUAAAAAUUUACUAAAAUAUUGGUUUUGUUUCCAAUUGAAUAAGAAUAAUUUUGGGUUUAGGUAAUAAUUUUAAAGAUAUUGAUGGAAUUGUAUUAAAGGAUAAAAUUGAUUUUUAAAAUCAGAAUCUAAAAGCUACUUCUUACUUACUUUUCAAAAUCAUCUGUAGUAGAGGCUGAUUUUGACAAAAGUGAUUUUGAUUUUUUUUUUUUACCAAACACUAAAAUUAACUUUUAGAUUUUUAAAAUUAGUUUUAAAUCUCCUAAAAGCAAUCCCAAAUAGAGCCUAACUCUAUUAUAAAUUCUUAAUUAAUAGCUCAUCUAAUAUUUGGUGUUAAAACAUGGACAAAAUAUCACAAAUUGGUAGGUAAAUUUGGACAUUUCAUUUCCACGACAUAUAGUCAAGUUUAAGGCUGUGGCCCGACAAAUUAAUGACCUUACUUUGCUUAGUGUAACGUAAUGCAUGAGCUUCGAUAACUUCAUAUGUAAACUUUAGUUGCUUUCGUUAAAGUUCUAUAACAUCAGUCAUCUCCAUUUAAAAGACAGAAGAAGAAGAAGAUAAAACACGCGAUUUAAUUAUUUACGUCGAAUAUCUCUGAAGUAGAGAAUUACAUUACAAUAACAUACCAAAAGCUCUCAAAACUAAAACUCAAAAGCAAACAGUAACUGAAACCAAAGUAAACGAACUAUCACACGAACAUGGCAUUAAAACUAAACUUUCUUAAUAACGCGCACGGGAAUAACGUGCACGGGAAACCCUCAAACAGGAAAAACCUUGAUUAAUUAAAAGCAAGUAAAGAAGCCCUAAUGUCUUCUAAGGCUCCAACUAUUUCAAGGGAAAGGAAGCACUCCAGUGCCAAUGCCAACUCCACCGGCAGAACCACCACCAACGCCGCCACCAGCACCACCUCCAACGCCGCCGCCACCGCCAACGCCGCCACCCACGCCACCAACUCCACCAAGCCCACUUGAACCACCGAGCCCACUAGCACCACCGAGGCCACCGACUCCACCAAUUCCUCCAAGCCCACCAGCACCACCGAGGCCAGUAAUCCCACCAAGACCUCCAACUCCACCAAACGGAAGCCCAUUAGAACCAAUGCCGGAGAAGCCACCAACACCACCGUAUGUUAGAAAGUUCUUUUGAUCAUCAAGGCCAGCAUCAGUGGGCGCACUUUUGGCAGUGUUAUGAACCACUUGAUCAUCAUGAUCACUAGGCGUAUUUCUUGCACUAGUGUGAACCGCUGCUACAGCAAGAACAAGCAUGACAUUGGCACACCACUUUGCCAUCUCUCUCAAAGAUUAUUAUUAUUUGAUUACUAUUAUGAAUUUUUCUUCUUAGUACAUGUGAACUAUUGUUGCGGGAGUCUCCUUAUAAAGGCUAAGAGGGCAUUGGGGAGGUAGUUGUGGGUAGUAAAUAGAAUUGAAUGCGGGCAACUUAGCUGGCACACUCGCUCAUAAGGUCUGCUGUUUGAAAUAUAUAUUUUCAAGGAUUUGUGCUUAGAGUAAAAUUGUUAUAGGAGUCAUCGUAAUGGUUUAAACGCUUGGGGUACCAGCUGAAAGAAAGUUACUGCGAUGGCCAGAGUGGCAAAUGCAGAAAUAAACAUGCAUGCCAGAUAUGGUGGUGACAAAUGAAAUGCUGAUUAGGGAUGUGGCGUUCGGGCAUGUGAUAUGCAGAGAAACAUUUGCCCAACCAAUCAAGUAAUUACAUUUGGUUGGAAGAAAAGGGCCGAUGUGAAGUGAUUGACUCAAUUCUGGGCAUUAUUAAUUUCCUGGACCAUUUCCAAUGACAUGAAAAAUUUUAAACUGUGUGUGACAAGGAACCUUACCUUUUGAGUUUUGAGAGGAAAUGCAAAUCCUAAUUAAGCUGUGAAAAAGUAAAAUUAAAUGUUCUUGCGUUGCGGAGAAUUAAGUAAAAAGUCAUCGAGCCUUUUCACUGAGCUGUAGUCCAUAACUCAUAAUACGUAGUAGCACGUGGUCAAUUCUAAACAUCAAUUUUUUUUUAUUAAAAAAAACUCUAAACAUUGAAUUAAUUUGCAAGAAAUAUUUCUUUUUUUUUUUUCAUCUUGGUAUUAGACUUCUAUAUCAAACAUUUUCUACUGUCAUUAUACUUUUUAUUCUACUAAUUAAUUUGCUUAUCUAAUCUAAAAGAAAAAAAAUUCUUAUCUCAACUAAAUUUGCGUGUUUUGGUUACUUUACUCACUCACUUUGUCAAUCUAGUUUUCUCUAACUAAAGACUUUUAGUUAACAUGUACUGACACAUUAAUUUAAUGGUAAAAUCUGUCCAAUCCUUUGGGACCAUCGUAAUUCAAGAGUUUGGAAAAAGUUAAACACUAUUUGCACACAAAAUUAUAAAUAAAAAUGAAUUAAUAAAUUUGUACAAUUUUAUAUGCAAGUAGCAUUACUCAUGGCAAAAUUUGAAGCAGUUAAUGGUUUUAUAUAGGGUAAGUUGAUUAUUAAAGAAUUAGAUUGUUUUGUUAAAUCUGAUUGGUGGUUAUUAAAUAUAAAGUUUCCAUUCAAUAUUUUAAUUUACUGUUGAGUUGCAUUAAAUAUUGGUUGGUCAAUGGAAGUCAGCUGCUAAAUUCAAUGUCGACCUACAUUCAAUCUCUACCUAACAAGUUUAAUUUGGGAUCGGAUACCUGCACAUUCUAAGUCCACCCCAAAUAUUACACUCCACCAUUCCCAACUCUUUACACCUAAAUUGAGAAAAUCGUUUGGAGAAAAUAUUGGUCAACACUAAUUGAAUCGUUGACUUAAACUAUAGGAAAUAAUAGAACAUUUACAACUGAGAAAAGUUUAGUAACACGACACAUAAAUUCUCCACCAGUUUUAUUUUUUCCUCUAUGUAUAGUAGUGUCUUUCAGCUAUAGGAUCAUUUUUCUAAUAUAUAAAUUAUCAUUAAAAUACAUGCUUAUUGAUAACGUAUUAUCAGUUUUGAUAUUCAGUUAUUGAUUCACCGAUCAUCCAAUUGAAGAAACGUGUUUUCAUUUCUUGAAUAAAACAUUAUACACUGAGAGUUAUUUAUAGAUGCAGAUGCUACAUUUUUUCAAAGAUUACAUAUGUAAAUACGGAAGGAAAUAGGUCUGUGUUGUGCGCGAGAGCUGGGCUGACGCUGGUGCUGCGUUGCGUUGCGCGCGCGGGACUGAUGUACUGCGCGAGGGUGAUUGCUGGAUUGAUUUGCGCUGUGCGCGCGAGCUGGAGCUGAGGAUCUGCGUUGCUAGGCGUUACUGCUGCUGCUUCGCGGGAUGUGUUGCGUGCACGGUUGCUGCUGAUUUCGCACAAUGGUGAUGGCUGGGGCUUGCUGCGUUGCACGCGGCUGCUUUCGCUGGUGGGACUUCGUUGCGCGCUGCUGGGCUGCGAGACACGGGAUGCUGGUGUUGCGCUCACGAGAUGGUGCGUUUUCCGGCGGGCUGGUUUGCUGCUGGUGUGCUGCAAGCGGCUGGAGAAGAAAACAAGUUCUGGAAAAUUAGGGAUUUUGUGAACAGUGAAUAGUGAACAGUGAUUUUCGAUUUUUGGUUUUUUUUUAAAUAAAUAAACAUAAUCAUUAAAGAACAUAUAUGGGAAUUAAAUAAAUAAAUAAAAUAAUUAUUUCAUUGAAUAGGGUUUCAUCUUUAACCUCAGUAUAAGAAAAUUAGCUGGACAUACUUAAAUUGGGAGCAACAAAAAAAAUAAAAUCAGCCAUGGGAAGCCGAAAUAUUGCUGCUGCAACUGGUCUCUUCCAACCUGACAUACUUGAAUUGGGAGCAACAAAAGAAAUAAAAUCAGCCAUGGGAAGCUUCCUUUUCCAAUUAUGAAACAAAGCUUCCAUAAUAACGCCAGCCAUUAAUUCCACUUUUGAAAGUCAAGUGUGGGCCCCAUUUAAAUUGCUUUCCCCUUUUGCAAUGCUAUGGACGUGCAACUCAAUUGGAGAAUUGAAAUUCUUUUUCAAUGCAAAUUGCUCUUAGCUCUUAACUCUAUCACAGCUUCAACUAAUAUUUCUCUAAAUUAUUAUUUUUUUUGCACUUUUUAUUUCCAAUCUCCAAUUAAUUUCCUAUUCAAUAAAACAAUUCAAUUAAUUAAAAAUAACAAAUAAAAUUAACUAGCAAAUAUACAAUAAAGGGUAAAAUAUGUAUAUAAAUUAUGCUCAUCACAUUGCUUAAUAUUUAUUAUUAUGGUUGGUUGAAUUAUAUACAUGGCAAUUAAUGAAUGAAAAUACAGGUGCUCCUGAAUCCCAAAACAUUUCCACGACAUAUAGUCAAGUUUAAGGCUGUGGCCCGACAAAUUAAUGACCUUACUUUGCUUAGUGUAACAUAAUGCAUGAGCUUCGAUAACUUCAUAUGUAAACUUUAGUUGCUUUAGCUAAGGUUCUAUAACAUCAGUCAUCUCCAUUUAAAAGACAGAAGAAGAAGAUAAAACACGCGAUUAAAUUAUUUACGUCGAAUAUCUCUGAAGUAGAGAAUUACAUUACGAUAACAUACCAGAAGCUCUCAAAGCUAAAAAUCAAAAGCAAACAGUAACUGAAGCCGAAGUAAACGAACUAUCACACGAACAUGACAUUAAACUAAACUUUCUUAAUAACGUGCACGGGAAACCCUCAAACAGGAAAAACCUUGAUUAAUUAAAAGCAAGUAAAGAAGCCCUAAUGUCUUCUAAGGCUCCAACUAUUUCAAUGGAAAGGAAGCACUCCGGUGCCAGUGCCAACUCCACCGGCAGAACCACCACCAACGCCGCCACCAGCACCACCGCCAACGCCGCCACCCACGCCACCAACUCCACCAAGCCCACUUGAACCACCGAGACCACCGACUCCACCAAUUCCUCCAAGCCCACCAGCACCACCGAGGCCAGUAACGCCAGCAAGACCUCCAACUCCACCAAGCGGAAGCCCAUUAGAACCAAUGCCGGAGAAGCCACUGACACCACCGUAUGUUAGAAAGUUCUUUUGAUCAUCAAG
This 5865-nucleotide long non-coding RNA is filed under the name Citrus sinensis (sweet orange). RNAcentral's name for it is "long non-coding RNA (CSIN_LNC002422)". Lineage: Eukaryota; Viridiplantae; Streptophyta; Magnoliopsida; Sapindales; Rutaceae. The record is from RNAcentral.